Molecule: long non-coding RNA, 591 nt
Filed under: Pan troglodytes (chimpanzee)
Lineage: Eukaryota; Metazoa; Chordata; Mammalia; Primates; Hominidae
Description: long non-coding RNA NONPTRT004603
Source: RNAcentral
GGCAAAGCUACUAAGCGGCUAAUGGCAAUCCAGGCUGAAUGCAGACAGCACCAGGCUCCAUCAUGCUGCUAAGACCGGCGCCAUUUAGAACAUAUGCAUGUUUAUUUCUGGAAUUGUUUAUUCGUGUCACAAUGCUUGCAUCAUUCAUCUCAUUUCAUCUCAUCACACGGGCAUCGUAUCAUCUCACGUCAUCACAAGGAGAAGUCUUCUUUUGCAGGAAUGACUUCAUUCUACCACCCUUUGCUGCCAUAUCAGGACGUCGGGAAGCAAAGAGACAUGUCGGCUUGAUCAGCACACAGGUCAUUCCUAGAGAGAUCAGCUCAGUCACCGAGCAGGCAGGAACAGGCACUCUGGAGGGGAGAAGCAGGCCCAGGAGGAUGAGUCAAGGCAGGGAUUGAAACUGCAGGAUGAGGGAGUCAGCGCCUGGGAACCCACAGGGCGGAGUUAGAUAAGAAGAAAUGCACGCGGAAUCUGCAGUUUAAAUGGAGCCUGGGGUUUGUAAAGAGGAGUCGGGCGUUCUUUACCUUGUCAGUUCCGACUGCUUUGUGCACAGCUGACUCAGAGACCGGGUGGGGCUGCCCUCUUAGGUGA